UCAAUAUUAAAUGUCCACUAUUGUCUAUAUAUAUUUAUACACACGUUGCACAUCUCUUCAGGAAUAGCUACUAAAAGGAGACGGGAGAGGAAGAAAAAAGUUAUCGACAAGCGUAGGAAAAUUGCACCCGAAUCUAAAAGGAAUCCUUGUCAUUGGUCUAGAUCAUACUUCCAAGAAAUGAUUUUUCAGUUAAAUGGAUACAAACAAAGAUAUAGAAGUUCAAAAUGAAGAAGUUGGCACCUC
This is a non-coding RNA of Cicer arietinum (chickpea), 243 nucleotides long. The record is from RefSeq and is a predicted model, not a curated record. Lineage: Eukaryota; Viridiplantae; Streptophyta; Magnoliopsida; Fabales; Fabaceae.